CGGGUGAGUAACGCGUAGGGAUUUAUCGUUGGGUGGGGGAUAACCUUGGGAAACUGGGGCUAAUACCGCAUGACGCCUGUGGGCCAAAGCAGCAAUGCGCCUGAUGAGGAGCCUGCGUUCGAUUAGCUAGUUGGUGGGGUAAAGGCCUACCAAGGCGACGAUCGAUAGCUGGUCUGAGAGGAUGAUCAGCCACACUGGGACUGAGACACGGCCCAG
This 216-nucleotide ribosomal RNA is filed under the name uncultured bacterium. RNAcentral's name for it is "partial 16S ribosomal RNA". It matches the Rfam family "Bacterial small subunit ribosomal RNA", at positions 103 to 334 of the family's 1533-position model. The record is from RNAcentral.